This 497-nucleotide ribosomal RNA is filed under the name uncultured bacterium. Its description in RNAcentral is "partial 16S ribosomal RNA". It matches the Rfam family "Bacterial small subunit ribosomal RNA", at positions 28 to 507 of the family's 1533-position model. The record is from RNAcentral.
GAUGAACGCUGGCGGCGUGCCUAAUACAUGCAAGUCGAGCGAACAGACGAGGAGCUUGCCCCCCUGACGUUAGCGGCGGACGGGUGAGUAACAUGUGGAUAACCUACCUAUAAGACUGGGAUAACUUCGGGAAACCGGAGCUAAUACCGGCUAAUCUAUUCAACCGCAUGGUUCAAUAGUGAAAGACGGUUUUGCUGCCACUUAUAGAUGGAUCCGGACCGCAUUAGCUAGUUGGUAAGGUAACGGCUUACCAAGGCAACGAUGCGUAGCCGACCUGAGAGGGUGAUCGGCCACACUGGAACUGAGACACGGUCCAGACUCCUACGGGAGGCAGCAGUAGGGAAUCUUGCGCAAUGGGCGAAAGCCUGACGGAGCAACGCCGCGUGAGUGAUGAAGGUCUUCGGAUCGUAAAACUCUGUUAUUAGGGAAGAACAAAGGUGUAAGUAACUAUGCACGUCUUGACGGUACCUAAACAGAAAGCCACGGCUAACUACGUG